RNAcentral lists this ribosomal RNA (253 nucleotides) under uncultured bacterium. RNAcentral's name for it is "partial 16S ribosomal RNA". It matches the Rfam family "Bacterial small subunit ribosomal RNA", at positions 524 to 776 of the family's 1533-position model. The record is from RNAcentral.
UACAGAGGAGCCAAGCGUUGUCCGGAUUGACUGGGCGUAAAGCGCACGCAGGCGGUUGCGCGCGGGGGGUGUGAAAUCUGGCCGCUUAACGGCCAGGCGCCAUCCCAUACGGCGCGACUGGAGGGCUGCAGAGGUCGAUGGAAUUGCCGGUGUAGUGGUGAAAUGCGUAGAGAUCGGCAGGAACACCCAGGGGGAAACCAGUCGACUGGGCAGCACCUGACGCUGAGGUGCGAGAGCGUGGGGAGCGAACAGG